This 406-nucleotide ribosomal RNA is filed under the name uncultured bacterium. Its description in RNAcentral is "partial 16S ribosomal RNA". It matches the Rfam family "Bacterial small subunit ribosomal RNA", at positions 30 to 526 of the family's 1533-position model. The record is from RNAcentral.
AUCGAACGCUGGCGGCAUGCCUAACACAUGCAAGUCGAACGAGUGGCGGACGGGUGAGUAAUGUCUGGGAAACUGCCUGAUGUAGGGGGAUAACGACGGGAAACGGUAGCUAAUACCGCAUACCAUCGGAUGUGCCCAGAUGGGAUUAGCUAUUAGGUGGGGUAAAGGCUCACCUAGGCGACGAUCCCUAGCUGGUCUGAGAGGAUGACCAGCCACACUGGAACUGAGACACGGUCCAGACUCCUACGGGAGGCAGCAGUGGGGAAUAUUGCACAAUGGGCGCAAGCCUGAUGGAGCAAUGCCGCGUGUAUGAAGAAGGCCUUCGGGUUGUAAAGUACUUUCAUCGGGGAGGCGUUACCCGAAGAUGAAGCACCGGCUAACUCCGUGCCAGCAGCCGCGGUAAUGC